This 204-nucleotide long non-coding RNA is filed under the name Carica papaya (papaya). RNAcentral's name for it is "long non-coding RNA (CPAP_LNC007258)". Lineage: Eukaryota; Viridiplantae; Streptophyta; Magnoliopsida; Brassicales; Caricaceae. The record is from RNAcentral.
GCUCUCCGGCGAGGUUCGUGUUUUGGUGAUUUGGCUCCAAUCAACUUGUAGAGAAAAGAAUGGUGAUCACAGUGAUAUAAAAAUUGUAUCAAACGGAGGCUGGGAAGGGCCUCAUCGGAGGCAAAAAUUGAGGAGGGGCGCGGCGGCGCCGCUGGGUUUCGGUCGUGUUUUCCGGCUGUUUGGCCGGGAGUUUGGCUCCGAUUU